UUUUCUCAACAUCAUGUAUCAUCUUGUUAUUCUUUAUAAGUUGAUUUUCGCACACUUUACACUCCUUAACAACUUUUUCCACUCACUUGAUGAAUUAGCACUAUAUUCAUCAUGAUCCUCGCCACCAAUAUCUUGGGCUUCUUUAACAAUGUUCAAUCCUUCCUCCACUUUAGUCACUCCCCAAUCUCAUACAAUCAACAAUAAGAACUUCUUUACUAUGACCAAGAAAUAAAAAUAGACCAAUGUUAGCCAAGUUGUUAAUCACACAAUUAAAUACCUCAGCUACAGAGAAUGCUUCAUUUAAAUUGCUUAAUCGGAUCUUUACACACGGCUACUGCAGAAGCCGCGAAAAAAGAAAUUGUAUCCAUGGCAGGGAUGACAAUGACAACAUGUUGAACAACCUAAAG
This 407-nucleotide long non-coding RNA is filed under the name Phaseolus vulgaris (common bean). RNAcentral describes it as "long non-coding RNA (PVUL_LNC001498)". Lineage: Eukaryota; Viridiplantae; Streptophyta; Magnoliopsida; Fabales; Fabaceae. The record is from RNAcentral.